UACAGAGGUCUCAAGCGUUGUUCGGAUUCAUUGGGCGUAAAGGGUGCGUAGGUGGCGCUGUAAGUCGGGUGUGAAAUUUCGAGGCUUAACUUCGAAACUGCAUUCGAUACUGCCGUGCUUGAGGACUGGAGAGGAGACUGGAAUUUACGGUGUAGCGGUGAAAUGCGUAGAUAUCGUAAGGAAGACCAGUGGCGAAGGCGGGUCUCUGGACAGUUCCUGACGCUGAGGCACGAAGGCCAGGGGAGCAAACGGG
This 253-nucleotide ribosomal RNA is filed under the name uncultured bacterium. Its description in RNAcentral is "partial 16S ribosomal RNA". It matches the Rfam family "Bacterial small subunit ribosomal RNA", at positions 524 to 776 of the family's 1533-position model. The record is from RNAcentral.